Molecule: transfer RNA, 77 nt
Filed under: bacterium
Lineage: Bacteria
Description: tRNA-Ile
Rfam family: tRNA
About the family: Transfer RNA (tRNA) molecules are approximately 80 nucleotides in length. Their secondary structure includes four short double-helical elements and three loops (D, anti-codon, and T loops). Further hydrogen bonds mediate the characteristic L-shaped molecular structure. tRNAs have two regions of fundamental functional importance: the anti-codon, which is responsible for specific mRNA codon recognition, and the 3' end, to which the tRNAs corresponding amino acid is attached (by aminoacyl-tRNA synthetases). tRNAs cope with the degeneracy of the genetic code in two manners: having more than one tRNA (with a specific anti-codon) for a particular amino acid; and 'wobble' base-pairing, i.e. permitting non-standard base-pairing at the 3rd anti-codon position.
Source: RNAcentral
GGGAAUUUAGCUCAGUUGGUUAGAGCUCCCCGCUCAUAACGGGGUGGUCGUUGGUUCGAGUCCAUCAAUUCCCACCA